RNAcentral lists this ribosomal RNA (528 nucleotides) under uncultured bacterium. RNAcentral describes it as "bacterial SSU rRNA". It matches the Rfam family "Bacterial small subunit ribosomal RNA", at positions 9 to 531 of the family's 1533-position model. The record is from RNAcentral.
GAGUUUGAUCCUGGCUCAGAUUGAACGCUGGCGGCAGGCUUAACACAUGCAAGUCGAGCGGGGAGAUGUAACUUGCUACAUUUCCUAGCGGCGGACGGGUGAGUAAUGCUUAGGAAUCUGCCUAUUAGUGGGGGACAACAUUCCGAAAGGAAUGCUAAUACCGCAUACGCCCUACGGGGGAAAGCAGGGGAUCUUCGGACCUUGCGCUAAUAGAUGAGCCUAAGUCAGAUUAGCUAGUUGGUGGGGUAAAGGCCUACCAAGGCGACGAUCUGUAGCGGGUCUGAGAGGAUGAUCCGCCACACUGGGACUGAGACACGGCCCAGACUCCUACAGGAGGCAGCAGUGGGGAAUAUUGGACAAUGGGCGAAAGCCUGAUCCAGCCAUGCCGCGUGUGUGAAGAAGGCCUUUUGGUUGUAAAGCACUUUAAGCGAGGAGGAGGCUACUUAGAUUAAUACUCUGGGAUAGUGGACGUUACUCGCAGAAUAAGCACCGGCUAACUCUGUGCCAGCAGCCGCGGUAAUACAGAGG